Molecule: transfer RNA, 71 nt
Filed under: Ovis aries (sheep)
Lineage: Eukaryota; Metazoa; Chordata; Mammalia; Artiodactyla; Bovidae
Rfam family: tRNA
About the family: Transfer RNA (tRNA) molecules are approximately 80 nucleotides in length. Their secondary structure includes four short double-helical elements and three loops (D, anti-codon, and T loops). Further hydrogen bonds mediate the characteristic L-shaped molecular structure. tRNAs have two regions of fundamental functional importance: the anti-codon, which is responsible for specific mRNA codon recognition, and the 3' end, to which the tRNAs corresponding amino acid is attached (by aminoacyl-tRNA synthetases). tRNAs cope with the degeneracy of the genetic code in two manners: having more than one tRNA (with a specific anti-codon) for a particular amino acid; and 'wobble' base-pairing, i.e. permitting non-standard base-pairing at the 3rd anti-codon position.
Source: Rfam by way of RNAcentral
UCCUUGGUGGCUCAGUGGUAAAGAAUCUGCCUUCAAGGCAGGAGAUCCAUGUUCAAUCCCUGGGCUGGGAA